RNAcentral lists this unclassified non-coding RNA (310 nucleotides) under plant metagenome. Its description in RNAcentral is "partial contains 5.8S ribosomal RNA, internal transcribed spacer 2, and large subunit ribosomal RNA". The stretch from base 1 to 105 matches the Rfam family "5.8S ribosomal RNA", at positions 50 to 154 of the family's 154-position model. The record is from RNAcentral.
GAAAUGCGAUAAGUAGUGUGAAUUGCAGAAUUCAGUGAAUCAUCGAAUCUUUGAACGCACAUUGCGCCCCUUGGUAUUCCAUGGGGCAUGCCUGUUCGAGCGUCAUUUGUACCCCCAAGCUCUGCUUGGUGUUGGGUGUUUGUCCCCGUCUCCGCGCGUGGACUCGCCCCAAAGUGAUUGGCAGCCGGCGUACUGGUCCCGGAGCGCAGCACAUGUCGCGCAAACGAGUGCCUUGGUACGGCGGCGUCCAUAAGCCCCUCUCUCACGCUCUUGACCUCGGAUCAGGUAGGGAUACCCGCUGAACUUAAGC